CAGGAUUAGAUACCCUGGUAGUCCACGCCCUAAACGAUGUCAACUAGGUGUUGGGUGGGUAAAACCAUUUAGUACCGGAGCUAACGCGUGAAGUUGACCGCCUGGGGAGUACGGCCGCAAGGUUAAAACUCAAAGGAAUUGACGGGGACCCGCACAAGCGGUGGAUGAUGUGGAUUAAUUCGAUGCAACGCGAAAAACCUUACCUACCCUUGACAUGUCCAGAAGCCCGAAGAGAUUUGGGUGUGCCCGAAAGGGAGCUGGAACACAGGUGCUGCAUGGCUGUCGUCAGCUCGUGUCGUGAGAUGUUGGGUUAAGUCCCGCAACGAGCGCAACCCUUGUCGUUAAUUGCCAUCAUUUAGUUGGGCACUUUAACGAGACUGCCGGUGACAAACCGGAGGAAGGUGGGGAUGACGUCAAGUCCUCAUGGCCCUUAUGGGUAGGGCUUCACACGUCAUACAAUGGUCGGUACAGAGGGUUGCCAAGCCGCGAGGUGGAGCCAAUCCCAGAAAGCCGAUCGUAGUCCGGAUUGCAGGCUGCAACUCGCCUGCAUGAAGUCGGAAUCGCUAGUAAUCGCGGAUCAGCAUGUCGCGGUGAAUACGUUCCCGGGUCUUGUACACACCGCCCGUCACACCAUGGGAGCGGGUUCCGCCAGAAGUAGGUAGCCUAACCGCAAGGGGGGCGCUUACCACGGCGGGGUUCGUGACUGGGGUGAAGUCGUAACAAGGUAACC
Molecule: ribosomal RNA, 730 nt
Filed under: uncultured bacterium
Lineage: Bacteria
Description: bacterial SSU rRNA
Rfam family: Bacterial small subunit ribosomal RNA
Source: RNAcentral